ACUACGGGGGGCAGCAGUGGGGAAUAUUGGGCAAUGGGCGCAAGCCUGACCCAGCAACGCCGCGUGAAGGAAGAAGGCUUUCGGGUUGUAAACUUCUUUUAAGAGGGAAGAGCAGAAGACGGUACCUCUUGAAUAAGCCACGGCUAACUACGUGCCAGCAGCCGCGGUAAUACGUAGGUGGCAAGCGUUGUCCGGAUUUACUGGGUGUAAAGGGCGUGCAGCCGGGAGUGCAAGUCAGAUGUGAAAACCACGGGCUCAACCUGUGGCCUGCAUUUGAAACUGUAGUUCUUGAGUGCUGGAGAGGG
This 305-nucleotide ribosomal RNA is filed under the name uncultured bacterium. RNAcentral describes it as "bacterial SSU rRNA". It matches the Rfam family "Bacterial small subunit ribosomal RNA", at positions 338 to 658 of the family's 1533-position model. The record is from RNAcentral.